AUCCUGAUAUUGUCAAGGUCAUCAUAACCCACUGUACUUGGCGUCGCGUGUUGACCGAAGCUCCUACUGUGGCAUCACUACUGUACCUCGAGUCGUGUGUUGGCUCCUAUCGUGCCAUCACUGUAGCUCGCGUCGUGUCUUGACCCAAGCUCAGGUCGCUAGCUAUACCCAGGUGCACUUGUUACUACUGGUGUGCUAACGGCUGCCUUAAUCAGUUUUGGACAGGAGAUGCAGAAGACAUAAUUACCUAGUCUUGUGUACAAAAAGAGGAAUUGUGGUGUGUGUAGCCGAUUGUGUGAUCUGCCUCCCACUGUACAUUGAAAGUGAACUACUACCUGUCUCUCA
Molecule: long non-coding RNA, 345 nt
Organism: Glycine soja
Lineage: Eukaryota; Viridiplantae; Streptophyta; Magnoliopsida; Fabales; Fabaceae
Exons: 3
Source: RefSeq, a predicted model, not a curated record